CUUGUUCUUUAAAUGAGGACUAGUAUGAAUGGCUUCACGAAAGCUAUACUGUCUCCUUUUUCUAAUCAGUUAAACUAAUCUUCCCGUGAAGAAGCGGGAAUGCACCUAUAAGACGAGAAGACCCUAUGGAGCUUUAAACAACUGAGACACUUGAUCCUUAAUUUUUCUGUACACUUAACUCAACAUUAUGUCUCUAGUUUUAGGUUGGGGUGACCACGGAGAAAAAACCAACCUCCACGAUGAAAGCAACUUUCAAUUCUUAGCAAAAAGCUACAUCUUUAUGCACCAACAAAUUGACUCCUAUUGACCCAAUAAUUUGAUCAACGAACUAAGUUACCCUAGGGAUAACAGCGCAAUCCACUUCAAGAGCUCUUAUCGACAAGUGGGCUUACGACCUCGAUGUUGGAUCAGGGUUUCCUAGUGGUGCAGCCGCUACUAACGGUUCG
Molecule: ribosomal RNA, 446 nt
Filed under: Dryadobates capixaba group sp. ABGD cluster 39
Lineage: Eukaryota; Metazoa; Chordata; Amphibia; Anura; Aromobatidae
Description: Allobates capixaba group sp. ABGD cluster 39 partial large subunit ribosomal RNA
Rfam family: Bacterial large subunit ribosomal RNA
Source: RNAcentral